This 700-nucleotide ribosomal RNA is filed under the name uncultured Flavobacterium sp. RNAcentral's name for it is "bacterial SSU rRNA". It matches the Rfam family "Bacterial small subunit ribosomal RNA", at positions 37 to 737 of the family's 1533-position model. The record is from RNAcentral. Lineage: Bacteria; Pseudomonadati; Bacteroidota; Flavobacteriia; Flavobacteriales; Flavobacteriaceae.
UGGCGGGCAGGCUUACACAUGCAAUGUCGAGGGGUAUUGGUUUUCGGACCAAGAGACCGGCGCACGGGUGCGUAACGCGUAUGCAAUCUACCUUUCACAGAGGGAUAGCCCAGAGAAAUUUGGAUUAAUACCUCAUAGUAUAAUUGAAUGGCAUCAUUUGAUUAUUAAAGUCACAACGGUGAAAGAUGAGCAUGCGUCCCAUUAGCUUGUUGGUAAGGUAACGGCUUACCAAGGCAACGAUGGGUAGGGGUCCUGAGAGGGAGAUCCCCCACACUGGUACUGAGACACGGACCAGACUCCUACGGGAGGCAGCAGUGAGGAAUAUUGGACAAUGGGCGCAAGCCUGAUCCAGCCAUGCCGCGUGCAGGAUGACGGUCCUAUGGAUUGUAAACUGCUUUUGUACAGGAAGAAACAGUUCUACGUGUAGAACCUUGACGGUACUGUAAGAAUAAGGAUCGGCUAACUCCGUGCCAGCAGCCGCGGUAAUACGGAGGAUCCAAGCGUUAUCCGGAAUCAUUGGGUUUACAGGGUCCGUAGGCGGCCUUAUAAGUCAGUGGUGAAAUCUCCCCGCUCAACGGGGAAACGGCCAUUGAUACUGUAGGGCUUGAAUUAUUAGGAAGUAACUAGAAUAUGUAGUGUAGCGGUGAAAUGCUUAGAGAUUACAUGGAAUACCAAUUGCGAAGGCAGGUUACUACUAAUU